RNAcentral lists this small RNA (136 nucleotides) under Escherichia coli. RNAcentral describes it as "RtT RNA". It matches the Rfam family "RtT RNA". Rfam says of the family: This family represents a bacterial cis-regulatory element known as RtT RNA. The exact function of RtT is unknown although it is thought that it may be involved in changing the cellular response in relation to amino acid starvation. The record is from RNAcentral. Lineage: Bacteria; Pseudomonadati; Pseudomonadota; Gammaproteobacteria; Enterobacterales; Enterobacteriaceae.
UGCAUUUGAAGCCCAUGAGGAUGAGAACCUCCGGGGGCGGGGAGGUUCGACUCGAGCGAAGCGAGAGAACGUUGCGCCAGCAACGCCGCAGGCAGGGCGAGCCACGAAGUGGCGAGUAAUCCUCUAUCACCGACCA